GUGGGGAAUAUUGCGCAAUGGGGGGAACCCUGACGCAGCAACGCCGCGUGAGUGAAGAAGGUCUUCGGAUCGUAAAGCUCUGUCUUUGGGGACGAAAGAGAUGACGGUACCCAAGGAGGAAGCCCCGGCUAACUACGUGCCAGCAGCCGCGGUAAUACGUAGGGGGCGAGCGUUGUCCGGAAUUACUGGGCGUAAAGGGUGCGUAGGCGGCUGUCUAAGUCAGAUGUGAAAUACCAGGGCUUAACCCUGGGGGUGCAUAUGAAACUGGGCAGCUUGAGUGCAGGAGAGGAAAGUGGAAUUCCUAGUGUAGCGGUGAAAUGCGUAGAGAUUAGGAGGAACACCAGUGGCGAAGGCGGCUUUCUGGACUGUAACUGACGCUGAGGCACGAAAGCGUGGGGAGCAAACAGGAUUAGAAACCCUAGUAGUCC
This 428-nucleotide ribosomal RNA is filed under the name uncultured bacterium. RNAcentral's name for it is "bacterial SSU rRNA". It matches the Rfam family "Bacterial small subunit ribosomal RNA", at positions 354 to 796 of the family's 1533-position model. The record is from RNAcentral.